RNAcentral lists this ribosomal RNA (397 nucleotides) under uncultured bacterium. RNAcentral's name for it is "partial 16S ribosomal RNA". It matches the Rfam family "Bacterial small subunit ribosomal RNA", at positions 523 to 918 of the family's 1533-position model. The record is from RNAcentral.
AUACGUAGGUGGCAAGCGUUGUCCGGAAUUAUUGGGCGUAAAGCGCGCGCAGGUGGUUCCUUAAGUCUGAUGUGAAAGCCCCCGGCUCAACCGGGGAGGGUCAUUGGAAACUGGGGAACUUGAGUGCAGAAGAGGAUAGUGGAAUUCCAAGUGUAGCGGUGAAAUGCGUAGAGAUUUGGAGGAACACCAGUGGCGAAGGCGACUGUCUGGUCUGUAACGGACACUGAGGCGCGAAAGCGUGGGGAGCAAACAGGAUUAGAUACCCUGGUAGUCCACGCCGUAAACGAUGAGUGCUAAGUGUUGGGGGGUUUCCGCCCCUCAGUGCUGCAGCUAACGCAUUAAGCACUCCGCCUGGGGAGUACGGUCGCAAGACUGAAACUCAAAUGAAUUGGCGGGG